Long non-coding RNA from Hibiscus syriacus, 93 nucleotides. RefSeq lists it as uncharacterized. The record is from RefSeq and is a predicted model, not a curated record. The transcript has 3 exons. NCBI's taxonomy places the organism in Eukaryota, Viridiplantae, Streptophyta, Magnoliopsida, Malvales, Malvaceae.
GGAUAGCUGCUUGGUGCCGAAAAUGCAUCUAUUUGAAGCCAAAGUUGGAGAAAUUGGCAGCUAAAUUCCAUACCAAAGGAAGAAAAUUUUAUU